Molecule: long non-coding RNA, 250 nt
Filed under: Cricetulus griseus (Chinese hamster)
Lineage: Eukaryota; Metazoa; Chordata; Mammalia; Rodentia; Cricetidae
Description: lncRNA (ENSCGRG00015033974.1)
Source: RNAcentral
GUUGUAUUUUGCCGGGUAAGGUAAAAAGAACUGUACACCGGAGGGAGCUUAUAAGACAUCAACGACGGAAUGUUCAGUCCUCAGGUGUCACACCAGGGCAUAUGCGAUCACUUCAGAUCUUGCUAUGAGACAUUAGACACGGUGGAAGGCUACAAAGACAGCUCUGACAACCACUGGAAGAGCUUUGCCAUCCCCUCCCGGGAACUGAUGGGAACAAAUUCCCACAUUGAAAGUUCUGCUGUAAAGCCAG